Molecule: long non-coding RNA, 218 nt
Filed under: Elaeis guineensis (African oil palm)
Lineage: Eukaryota; Viridiplantae; Streptophyta; Magnoliopsida; Arecales; Arecaceae
Description: long non-coding RNA (EGUI_LNC079377)
Source: RNAcentral
CAAGGGCGGCUAGGAGGUCAGAACGAAAGUUGAGAAGCUAAUUAAAUGAAGGUGCGAGGGGAAGGAGGAAAGUGAAUCUGUUUACCUCAAGAAAGGAUCCUAGAGAGUCCCAAACCCGCUGUUCGAGAUCGACGCGAACGAUCCUCUGGACGACUUCAGGCAGGACGCAGCCAUCGACCAGUCGCUUUAUCAGGUCCCUGUCAUUAAAAGGAUUCUCC